RNAcentral lists this ribosomal RNA (107 nucleotides) under Staphylococcus aureus. RNAcentral's name for it is "partial 16S ribosomal RNA". It matches the Rfam family "Bacterial small subunit ribosomal RNA", at positions 1435 to 1533 of the family's 1533-position model. The record is from RNAcentral. RNAcentral also lists the same sequence under 2 other names. Lineage: Bacteria; Bacillati; Bacillota; Bacilli; Caryophanales; Staphylococcaceae.
GUAACCUUUUAGGAGCUAGCCGUCGAAGGUGGGACAAAUGAUUGGGGUGAAGUCGUAACAAGGUAGCCGUAUCGGAAGGUGCGGCUGGAUCACCUCCUUUCUAAGGA